UACAGAUCUAGGGUUUGCGUUCAAUAUUCUGUAUCUGAUACUUGGAUGGUCUGAGUCAAAAUCGACAGUACGAUGAUACAUGGAAGGAUGAAGGUGUUGACGGUUUUCAAUUCUUCACUCCAAUCGGAUAAGGCAAAAGGGAGGUGAUUGGUGUAUAACUAGACAUACAGAAGGUCCACAAUACGUUUCUUGAUCUUGGUGAUUCGAAUAUUCUUCGGCCAUACAUGAGUGAUGCAAUACAGAUAUAUCUAAAGCAUGUGAAGUUUUUAAAGCAAAAGAAGCAACACCUUCAGUUGCAGUUUCAGCUUUGCGUACACUUCAAUAUGAGGUCACAAAAACCUACGUACAAAGUGUUAAUUCAUGGAUGAGGUCUUCAACUAAAGAGAUAUUAAAGCGAAUUGUGGGCCCUGGUUUCUGUUCUAGAAAGAAACUAAUCUCCUGGUGCACAAUUUCUCCCUUGCCUUUAGGAUUUCGUUCAGUUAUGGUCACUGCAAAGGAUCAAAUAGAUAUCUAUCUAUACUAUAUAUAAAAGCAUAUCCCAAGGACUUCUUAAGGUAAUUUGCAAACUACGAAUGAGAAGAAUGAGAAGAAAUCCAAAAAGGAAAUCGGAAUGUCUAAAUGUUACCAGAGAUCUGGCUCAAUUCCCUUUCGUUGUUCUUUUUUUUUAUCUCAGGCUUCAGCAAACUACGAAUGAGAAGAAUGAGAAGAAAUCCAAAAGGAAAUCAGAAUUGAAGCUGCAAGCGGUAGAUUGGUGUAAAAAACUUGUAGGAUUUGUUGGUGGUCAGAGAUUGACUGUGUGGUGAUCGACAUUGUGGAGAAGUACUUUGCAAUUUGGGAUUUGUUGGUGGUCAGGUUUUUUUUUUACUCUGCGGAAUUUUAGAAUCUAGAUCUGAGAUUGUGAAUUGUUUCAAUGUGAAUGUAAUCUAUCGAUCUUACUUGUAAAUACGUUUCGGACAGUGAAUACUAACUACUUACGUGUUUGGAUGUGCUUUUCACAGGGUAUGUAACUGAGAAAAGGAGCUCUGUUUCAUCAAGACAGAAUGUGACUUUAGAUUCGCCGUUAAUUAAAGUAACACCUUAUUCUGACAUGUGUUAACAUAACAUUUUACAGAAACGGUUCGGGUCGAACAUACAUCUGGUGGGUGGAGAUGGAUGGAUUCCUGCUUAUUUUACUGUUCGCGUCGAAACGGUUCGGGUCGAAACGGACAAACGAUACCGGAUGAAAUGGUACGCGUUGAACCCGUCUCGGUCCGAAACUUAAUUAUUUUGUCGGAUUAUUCCUUCAGGUGGUGGUGGUGGUGUUUUUGCUGAUGCUGCUGCAAAGUUUCGAUAUCGUGAUGCGUUUUGAUGCUAUUGGAUGUACUUAUAACUACGUUUGUUAUGUUGAGGAAGAAGGUAGUAGGAAUGUUAGUUUAAAGUUAAAAAAAUGGGAUCUGGAAUGCGAGUGAAGGAUUAUUCGUAACCGUGGUCUUAAAAGCAGAAAUCAGAAUAAUGAAUCAUAAACUAAAGUUCGAGUUAUGUCAGGAACCUACUACAUCUUACAGAAGGGACUGAUUAUCGUGUUUUGAUAAUACAUAACAAGCCGUUUUUAGGGUGCCUGGAUUUGAUACUGAUCAUCUUCUUAUCGUGUUUUGAUAGCUGUUUUUAGGAUGCUGGGGAUUGAUACCGAUUAUCUGCUUAUCGUGUUUCGAUACAAUAACAAUAUGUUUUUAGGGUGCCAGGUUGAUAUUGAUUAUCUGAUUAUAUAUGGAGUGAAAUACGGAAAUGAGCUGCUUAGAAUGAUAAGUAGUUUGUGGUUUCUUAUCUCAAGCUGAUUAUCUCGAAAAUUGAAAUAGGAGUUGUAAUAAGCAAUCCCAAGUAACUGUGAAUGAUUUCUGAGUGUUAAAGGAGGUAUGAUAAAAAGUUCAUUUGUUAUUAAAAUUAAUUUAAUUUUUUGCCUUAUGUGGUCUUUUUGUGUUCCUUUGCAUAUAAACUUUAUGUUGUCAUUGAUAAAUCUGUUGUAUAGACAUAUGAAUUAGCCAGACGUCAGGUUCUAGAGAAGAUUGAACGUGUUGGGUGUGUAAAUAAACAUGUUUUAGUAAUGCAUGCCAAGUGUUUGUUGAUACGUUUCAAGGAAUUUAGCCAUUAUUUUCCUUUUUAAACAGCCAAGAUUUUCGAUGUGAAUAACUAAAUAGAGCAUGCUUCUUGUAUUAGCUAACAACGGAUUAAUUUUUUUAGUAAUUAGCUUAUACACUCAUCUUUUUGUUCGGUUUCAGAAAUAGCGAUGGUUUUGAAGGGUUUUAUGUUGGUGGACUAAGGUUUAUGAUAGUUGUAUUGUUCGAAUUUCAAUUUCAAGUUAUAUAUAGAAAACAAUCUGUUUAAGAUAACCCAGUUGAAUUUGACCCGUUUGUCCUUUGACCCAUUACUCAACACGCCCAACCUCGAUCGUCUACAUUUUAUUACUCAAUGAACCUGACCUUGCCCAUUUACACGUUAUUAUUUAACGCAUUCGACCUUGCAGAUGGGAAACGUGAAAGCAUGAGGAAAUGCAAUACCCCUAAAACAAUAUCUCAUGUAUUAACCUGCUCACUUUAGAAACUUGUCAAAUGUAGUUAUAUUUCUUUCGUACACAGUUAAAAAGAAAAUGCCUAAAGAAGAGUGCAGGUUAGAUGGGCUCAGCCAAAUCGUUUGUAUUAAAGUGUGGGUAUGUAUAUGCGUAUUACAAUCAAAUCUAUCCUUUUAUGAUGAUUUGGACUUUAUAUUCAAAGUUAUGGGUCGAUUUGGUUUAAGCUUUAUUCUUAGUGGGUCAGAAUGAACGUAUUUGAAAUUAAAAGAAAUUCAUCGGGUCAUAUUUGUAAUACGUGUUAUGGUACUUUCAACUCAUUCCACAAAAUGUGUUGUUAUUUAUCUACAAUUCUUUUGCUGUUAGAUUUGCAUAAGAAAACUAAAACAAUAGUUUAUUUUUAUUUCAGCAAAACUUAAAGGUCACCAGGUAGGUGCGUGGCACUAGGGCAUUGUUUCUGUGAAACUACGAUCUUGCGUUUGGCUGCUGCUAUAAAGGUAAAACUGGAUCGUAAACAAAGGCUUGAUUUCUGCCAUAGAGGUAAGCCAGCAAUCUAAACCUUUAAAUAAAAUAUAUGGUAGUUUGUAUGGAUUAAUGGGCUUCGGACCACUUUCACCCCUUUUGAUUCAUUCCGGACCAUCCCUAUGUCAAUAUAAAUUGCAUAUAGUGGGUCAUCAAGUUUCUUGACCUGCAGGUAACACAGAACCAUUUUUGUGGUUGUAAAAAAGUUUAGUGGUUUUUGUAGUUAGAAAAAAAUACGAGUGGCUUCAGUACGACAUUGAAGAAGUUGUAGCAAGAAAGAAUGUUCAGUGCAAAGUAUUUGGUCUUUUUGUUUAAUUUUUAAAAGUUUAUAACUAUUGUAAUAUGAGUUGGCAAUUCACGUUGAGAACUUGAGAUAUUAAUUUAAUCAAAACUUUAUUAUAUGUUUAGAACACAGCAAAGAGUUGGCAAUUCAGGUUUAGAGAUUAAUUUAAUCAAAACUUUAUUAUAUGUUUAGAACACAGCAAAAAAAACAUAGCCAAAUUCCAUACAUUUAUCAAUUGAUUUUUUUUUAUUUAAUGAUUUAUGUAAUGUAAUAUUAAUGGUUAGACCGAACGGUAUGGGGGACGUCUCUGGAAAAGCGAAGCCCGUCCACACCACCCCCUCUCGGUCCGUCCCGUCGCCAAACUCACCCCCAUUGCCGCUUGUGGCAAUCCUCCCUUUUCCUUAUCCAACACACACAUGCACAUUACCAGAUAAAAGAUUAAAAGGCUGAAGAUGCGACAACCUAACAAAACUCAUAAGCAAGCCUUUAGAAAAGAUUAUAAGUUUGGUGGGACUAGGAGGGCUAUGAAAUUGUUCGGUUGGAACAUGAAGUUUGGUGGGGUUUAGUGUAUAUACCAUCCUUUUAACACAUUUGUGUUACUUAUUUUUUAAUCUUUUAUCAGGUAUCUAGAUGCAUUGACAAACUUGCUCACAAGAAUUAAGAUUUGGGUUCUUAAAUGUGAUAAAAUGAAGGGGUAUUGGAUUUUAAUAAAUCCCAAGUUUCACUAAUUGGCCGGUAAUAAUCCCAACUUCAAAAAUUGCCUACAACAGUCCCAACUUGUAAGAUUUUGGCCACCAAUGAUCCUUGUCUAACUGGGUUAUAACCUUGUUGGGCUGGUGACUUGCAACUUAUUCCGGCGACCCGUUUUACCCCUGAAACCACCAAACGAGACCACCACCACCAAUCAUCUCCGACCUCCUGUAAUCUUCUCCGCUUCUCAAAAGUUUAAAAUUUCCACCAUCUACGCAACUCCGGUGACCUGCAGCUUAUUCCGACGACCUUCUUUACCCCUGAAACCACCAAAGGAGACCACCACUUGUCAUCUCCAACCUCUAGUGACCUUCUCCG
This is a long non-coding RNA of Helianthus annuus (common sunflower), 4415 nucleotides long. RefSeq lists it as uncharacterized. The record is from RefSeq and is a predicted model, not a curated record. Lineage: Eukaryota; Viridiplantae; Streptophyta; Magnoliopsida; Asterales; Asteraceae. The transcript is spliced from 5 exons.